RNAcentral lists this ribosomal RNA (1642 nucleotides) under metagenome. RNAcentral's name for it is "bacterial LSU rRNA". It matches the Rfam family "Bacterial large subunit ribosomal RNA", at positions 1275 to 2925 of the family's 2925-position model. The record is from RNAcentral.
UGAGCGCUUAGAAGUGAGAAUGCCGGUAUGAGUAGCGCAAGACGGGUGAGAAUCCCGUCCACCGAAUAACUAAGGUUUCCUGGGGAAGGCUCGUCCUCCCAGGGUUAGUCGGGACCUAAGCUGAGGCCGAUAGGCGUAGGCGAUGGACAACAGGUUGAUAUUCCUGUACCAGUUGCUUUUGUUUGAGCGAUGGAGGGACGCAGGAGGCUAAGGAAUGCACACGAUCGGAAAUGUGUGUCCAAGCAGCAAGUCUGAGAACGAGUGAAAUGCUUUUUCUCUCAAGGACAAGCUGUGAUGGGGAGCGAAAUUUAGUAGCGAAGUUCCUGAUGUCACACUGCCAAGAAAAGCUUCUAGUGAGAAAGUAACUGCCCGUACCGCAAACCGACACAGGUAGUUGAGGAGAGAAUCCUAAGGUGUGCGAGAGAACUCUCGUUAAGGAACUCGGCAAAAUGACCCCGUAACUUCGGGAGAAGGGGUGCUGACCGCAAGGUCAGCCGCAGUGAAUAGGCCCAAGCGACUGUUUAUCAAAAACACAGGUCUCUGCAAAAUCGAAAGAUGACGUAUAGGGGCUGACGCCUGCCCGGUGCUGGAAGGUUAAGAGGAGAGGUUAGCGCAAGCGAAGCUUUGAAUUGAAGCCCCAGUAAACGGCGGCCGUAACCAUAACGGUCCUAAGGUAGCGAAAUUCCUUGUCGGGUAAGUUCCGACCCGCACGAAAGGCGUAACGAUUUGGGCACUGUCUCAACGAGAGACUCGGUGAAAUUAUAGUACCAGUGAAGAUGCUGGUUACCCGCGACAGGACGGAAAGACCCCAUGGAGCUUUACUGCAGUUUGAUAUUGCGUGUUUGUAUCACAUGUACAGGAUAGGUAGGAGCCGAAGAUACCGGGACGCCAGUCUCGGAGGAGGCAACGGUGGGAUACUACCCUUGUGAUAUGACCACUCUAACCCGCUGCUCUUAGCGAGCAGGGAGACAGUGUCAGACGGGCAGUUUGACUGGGGCGGUCGCCUCCAAAAAUGUAACGGAGGCGCCCAAAGGUUCCCUCAGAAUGGUUGGAAAUCAUUCGUAGAGUGUAAAGGCAGAAGGGAGCUUGACUGCGAGACCUACAAGUCGAGCAGGGACGAAAGUCGGGCUUAGUGAUCCGGUGGUUCCGCAUGGAAGGGCCAUCGCUCAACGGAUAAAAGCUACCCUGGGGAUAACAGGCUUAUCUCCCCCAAGAGUUCACAUCGACGGGGAGGUUUGGCACCUCGAUGUCGGCUCAUCGCAUCCUGGGGCUGUAGUCGGUCCCAAGGGUUGGGCUGUUCGCCCAUUAAAGCGGUACGCGAGCUGGGUUCAGAACGUCGUGAGACAGUUCGGUCCCUAUCCGUCGCGGGCGUUGGAAAUUUGAGAGGAGCUGUCCUUAGUACGAGAGGACCGGGAUGGACACACCGCUGGUGUACCAGUUGUUCUGCCAAGAGCAUCGCUGGGUAGCUAUGUGUGGACGGGAUAAACGCUGAAAGCAUCUAAGCGUGAAGCCCCCCUCAAGAUGAGAUUUCCCAUCACUUUAAGUGAGUAAGACCCCUGAGAGAUGAUCAGGUAGAUAGGUUGGGAGUGGAAGUACAGCGAUGUAUGGAGCGGACCAUUACUAAUCGGUCGAGGACUUAACC